Schistocerca piceifrons (Central American locust) is the source of this 814-nucleotide long non-coding RNA. RefSeq lists it as uncharacterized. The transcript is spliced from 3 exons. NCBI's taxonomy places the organism in Eukaryota, Metazoa, Arthropoda, Insecta, Orthoptera, Acrididae. The record is from RefSeq and is a predicted model, not a curated record.
AUCGCUGGAGUUUGUGAUCUCGUCGUGUCUGUCUUGCUGUCGUUUCUCAACGUCGACUCUUCUAAAAAUUCGGUCUCUUUUUGCAGCUUCAGGAUCUUGUCACCAACGGUAGCAGCCAUGUGUAGAAAUGAAGAAAAGCUGUUGCAGGCUACUGUUACAGUCCGUAAUGAGUGUAGUAGUCUCCUACGGAAGUACCAGACCUUAAUUCUUCGAAAACUGAGGUUACAAUGAGAGUAUUAUUGGAUCAGUUGGAAGAUGCAAUGCACUCAUUGCAGGUUUUCGUAUUUUCAAGGCAAUUGUGGCGCCUGUGUAUCAAUAGAACUAUAUUAUAUGAUGAGGAAGAGAAAUCUUGUGACACAGAUCACCUCAUUCUCCCACUUGGGAUUACUUUAGAUACAUUGAGAGUUGGCGUUACAUGAUUUACCCGAGGAUAAUUGGUGGAGUGCAACAAUAAGUUUAAGGUAUUUGUGGUAUCGCAACUGAGUUGUUGAAAUAAGCAAUUGGGGCUGAACAGCAAACAGGACAAAUCCCCAGCAGAAAAUGAUUGCAUUCAUGUAAUUUUUGUACAAGUACUGAGAUUGGAAUGUGUACAGAACACACGUUUUAUGUAAAUACUACUCAAAGAUGAAGAGGAAAUCGUGGUUGCUCCAUCGAGCCAAUUGGAAGACUGCUCACCAAAUUUUGAUUAUGUUUUCUUACAUGCUGGUGUGUAACGUAAGAAGUGACAGAAAAUUGCACUGGAUGCAGAGUCUGUGCUCCUCUACACCCUUCUGUCACGUCAACAGACUGGUUGCUACCUGAAAUGCAAAUGAGG